Molecule: ribosomal RNA, 467 nt
Filed under: uncultured bacterium
Lineage: Bacteria
Description: partial 16S ribosomal RNA
Rfam family: Bacterial small subunit ribosomal RNA
Source: RNAcentral
GACGAACGCUGGCGGCGUGCUUAACACAUGCAAGUCGAACGGAAAGGCUCCAGCUUGCUGGCGUACUCGAGUGGCGAACGGGUGAGUAACACGUGGGUAAUCUGCCCUGCACUCCGGGAUAAGCCUGGGAAACUGGGUCUAAUACUGGAUAUGACCUUUCUCCUUAUGGGGUUUGGUGGAAAGUUUUUCGGUGUAGGAUGAGCCCGCGGCCUAUCAGCUUGUUGGUGGGGUGAUGGCCUACCAAGGCGACGACGGGUAGCCGGCCUGAGAGGGUGAUCGGCCACAUUGGGACUGAGAUACGGCCCAGACUCCUACGGGAGGCAGCAGUGGGGAAUAUUGCACAAUGGGCGGAAGCCUGAUGCAGCGACGCCGCGUGAGGGAUGACGGCCUUCGGGUUGUAAACCUCUUUCAGCAGGGACGAAGCGUAAGUGACGGUACCUGCAGAAGAAGCACCGGCUAACUAUGUG